ACUGACACCAAGUAUUGAAGAGUGAAGACUGGAGGAAAUUAAUAGCACUCUUAGCAUCUUGGAGAAAAGAAAUUUAACACUUAUUGGUAAAAUAACAGUAAUAAAAACUCUAGCAAUCUCCAAAUUGGUUCAUAUUUUCAAUUCCUUGCAAAGCCCAACCCACC
Molecule: long non-coding RNA, 164 nt
Organism: Haliotis rubra (blacklip abalone)
Lineage: Eukaryota; Metazoa; Mollusca; Gastropoda; Lepetellida; Haliotidae
Exons: 3
Source: RefSeq, a predicted model, not a curated record